Molecule: ribosomal RNA, 555 nt
Filed under: uncultured bacterium
Lineage: Bacteria
Description: partial 16S ribosomal RNA
Rfam family: Bacterial small subunit ribosomal RNA
Source: RNAcentral
UAGGGAAUCUUCCACAAUGGACGAAAGUCUGAUGGAGCAACGCCGCGUGAGUGAAGAAGGUUUUCGGAUCGUAAAGCUCUGUUGUUGGUGAAGAAGGAUAGAGGCAGUAACUGGUCUUUAUUUGACGGUAAUCAACCAGAAAGUCACGGCUAACUACGUGCCAGCAGCCGCGGUAAUACGUAGGUGGCAAGCGUUGUCCGGAUUUAUUGGGCGUAAAGCGAGCGCAGGCGGAAUGAUAAGUCUGAUGUGAAAGCCCACGGCUCAACCGUGGAACUGCAUCGGAAACUGUCAUUCUUGAGUGCAGAAGAGGAGAGUGGAACUCCAUGUGUAGCGGUGGAAUGCGUAGAUAUAUGGAAGAACACCAGUGGCGAAGGCGGCUCUCUGGUCUGCAACUGACGCUGAGGCUCGAAAGCAUGGGUAGCGAACAGGAUUAGAUACCCUGGUAGUCCAUGCCGUAAACGAUGAGCGCUAGGUGUUGGGGACUUUCCGGUCCUCAGUGCCGCAGCAAACGCAUUAAGCGCUCCGCCUGGGGAGUACGACCGCAAGGUUGAAACG